UCUGGACAAGCCAAGGCGGAGACUCUGAUUGGGAGACUUCACAGACACUACCACCAGUGGGCUGCUGCUACUUCUGCUACCUCCAGAUGCCGCUGAAAGGAAACAUAUGAUGUGAUGCUGAUGAUGUCAGAAAUCUCUUAACAAAGAUUAAUUUAUAAAAUAAGCAGCAAAAAAAAGGUAGUUAAGCAUUAUUCUGCUUUCCAGUGUCUAUCAAGCAAUAAACUAGAUCAAAAGAACAGAAUGUUCUAAAGAGCAGAAAUUAAUACAGUAUUGCCUAUUUCCAAACAUCCCAGAAGCCAAGGUAAUGACACUAAAACCUCACCAUGAAAGCUGAAAAAGGAAGGCUGGGAACAAAUAAUGCUAGUUGUAAAGGCAUACAAAAAUGCAUAUAAUUAUAAUUUCUAAAGUAAUAGAAAAAGCAAAUGCAUUUUUAAGGUCCUGCAAUUUUUACAAGUAGUCCUUGAAGAGUCUAUUUUUCAAUUAUUAAAUACCUUUAAAAAUGGCAAAUAUUGUUAUUUAUUUAUACUAGUUUCAUUAUACUAUUAUCCUAAUGUCGCAAUUAUUUCCAUCUAUUUCAAAAUUAUCCACAUGAAUGUUCACAGUUGAUGGUGACUGUAGUUGCUCGCCUACACAACAGUAUUAUAAAUUUAAAAUAAAUAAUUAUACCUGCUACCCUAUAACUCAGACUAUACUGCUUUAUUGUUUUCUAGUUUGAAAGGUAUAAAAUAGUAUUUUAUUUUAAUUUACACUUCCUUAAUUACCAGUGAGACUGAAACUCUUCAUAUUUUCUUGUUGUAUUAAUAGUUCUUGGGGACACUGUUAUAUUUAUGCCUCUGGCUAAUUUUACUUUUGGGGUCUUGGUGGUCUUCUCCAGUUGUAUAAGAUAGGUAACAAACUGGCAAUCUGAGGGCCAAAUCUAGCUCUCAGAUAUAUUGUUUUGGUUCACAUGGUGCUAACAACAACAACAAAAAAAAUCAACUUACAAAAAUUAGCAGAUUUCAUAUUAAAAUCUGGAUUUCUGGCUUCUCUUGAAAACAGCAAUCAGAUCUAGAAAUACCAAGCCCAUAAUCUUGCAUGGAAACAAUACGAUGGAGCUGAGUAGCAGCUGCUUCCUUCAAAAGGGUACGCGCUCCUGAGUCCAACAAAAUUCCUACCCACGCAAGUCUACUGCAUGGGCCCAAUUCACUCGUUUACAUCACUUGCCUGACUGUCACAUGCUGACUUGAUAAGCACUUUGUGCUUGAUGACAUUAACUCUUUAUCCAUCAUUCCACUGUUUCCUUGUAUUUUUUUAAUUAUGCUACUUUUAAAUUUCUAUAGUUAUAUCACUCCAUUUAAAUUUCCUUCAUUGGGGAAGCAUUAAUUAUUUUUAGAAAUAUACUAAGUAUUACUCUUUGAAUGAUAUGACAUCAAGUAAUUAAUCUUCCCUCCUUUCCUUCUCCAAAAAGUUUUUAAGUCCUCAUUAAAAAUCUUAGAAGUUGUAAACCAGAAUGGACUUUAAAGAUUACAGUUGUUCCCAAUAUUUCACAUGAUGAAAUGAAGACUCUGUAAGUUAAGUAAUCAUGCAGCCUCACAGCUCACGCCUAAAUCUAUGAAUAGUAGUCAGCAGGGGAGUGAGCACUGUGGACCAAUCAAGAGAGGCCCCUCAAAAGAAAAACAGGAGUAGAAUUGGAAGGGCUCAGGCAAGGAGAGGGGACACAUGAAGAAAGACACACCAGGCAGAGGAGGAUUAAGAGAGGCCCUGAGAGAGGCAUACAUACAACAUGUUUGAGAGACAAAAAGUGUUUCAAUUUCACUGAAGUGGACGGUUCAUGCAGGUGGAUGACAGAAAGUAAAGACAGGACUGGUUAGGAAAGGCAGCAACAAUUUGGGCCUGGAUUAGGGUUUUAGUAAUGUCAAGAAGGGUGAAGGUCAAAGAAUUCUUGAAGGAUCCAUGAGACUUGGCUGUGGAGCAAAAGAAAACAGAGAAGUGAAAUUUGUGAAAGCAAGAGGUUGAGUUUGCUAGGGCAUUUGUUAAAUGCUAGAAUUGCCACAUAUAGAUCCCAAGGCUUCAGUCAGACUGUGGAGGUCAGCAGGUCCUGAGCAAAAGAUUUGCUGCCAGAAAUACAUACUUCAGGAAUCUCAAAUGUUUACACCCUUUAACACUGUAAUUUUCCUACUAGAAAUUUUAUCCUAGGAAAAUAAUCAGUAAUAUGCCCAGAGAUUUCUAAAAUAAGGACAUUUGCACUUAUUGCAAUCUUAUUUAUAGCACUGAAAAAAUAAUAAACCUGGAUGUCCAAUAAUAAGGAAUGGUUAAAUAAAUGAAUAUAUGCAGCAACCAGGAACUUUGGUUUUGAAGAAUAUGUAAUAAUAUGGGGAAAUGCUCACACAUGAUGUUUGUAACUAGGAAAAAAAUUUACCAGUGAUAAUUUUCCAAGCUCCUGUCCUUGAUGAUAAAUAUGCCAUACCUGGUGGGACCCAUUUAGGUUUCUUGCUUUCAGCUGAAGGACUGCGUAUUUCUAAUGGUUUCCUAGUGGUAUCUGAAGACAGAGAAACCUUUUUUGGCAAGGACUGAGAUUCUGAUUUGACGGCAGCUGGAGCAGAGUCCACCGAAGUCACUUAUUUGAAAAAUAUACGUAAAAAUGUUUGUCAUGCAGGAAGAAAAAGUAAGUCUAGCAUAUAUGUGUAAAAAUUAUAAAGUUACAUAAUCAUAUAAAAAAUAAACUUAUUAAUCAACAAACAUUUAUUGAGAGCCUAAGAAUAGCCAUCUUUUAUGAGCAUUAAUAUGCCAGGCAGUGUGGUAGGCAUAUCACACACAUUACCUCUAACUCUUUACAACAACUCCAAUACAGAUAUUACUAUCCCCACUCUCAGAGAAGGAAACAGAGACGUUAAGCAAUCUGCCUGUAGUCUGACAGCUAGUAAGCAUCUAAGCUUAGAAACCAGAUUUUCCUCCAAAAUCCCAUCCUUGUAACUAACCAUUACACAAUAGUGUCUCGUGAGUAUGUGUCAGUGAGAUUAUGUGUCAGGCUCUAGGGUUAGAAACAUGGCUCCUGCUCCCAAGGACUUUAAGGUUUAGUCACUAGACUUCAGUGGGAAGAACAGGAAAGUAAAGAUGUGUAAAAUGCAGUGUGGUAAGGGAUAUGGCAGACUCUAAAGGUAUGCCAAGUAGAAAAGGAAACUGCAAUCUGGGGGUAUGUGUUUUAAAGUUAGAAGGAGGUGAGUGAGGAUGGUCUGAACCAAAUCAAGAUUGAAGAGUAAAGGUGAAUUGAGAGAAGCUUUCCAGGCAGAGGGAGUACAGUGUGCAAAGAUGGAGGAUGCACCAAGUUCCAGAAUCAGUAGUACUGACUGGUUCAGUGUACGGCUGGAGCAGAAAUCUCAAGGGUAGGAAAUGUGAGAGAUAGACACUGGGUGUAGAUCACUUAUGAAGAGCUUUGCAGACCAUGUACAAGAGUCUGGCUAGUCACAGUCAUGCACAUAUUUUUCUCAGGAGUGAUUUGUAUUUUAAAAACAUCUUUCUGGUGGUAGUGUAGGAGAAGUAGGCUACUUAGAAGGUUAUUAUGGUAAUCAGGUAAGAGGAAAUGGGGGCCUGCUAAGGUGGAGAAUAGAAGGAAAACAGCACAUUAGAUAUGUUUUGGCAAAAAUAGGUGGGAGGCAGCAAUGGAGAUGAAGAAAUAAUCCAUGACUUGCAGGUUCCUGUCAUGGGCACACUUUGAUGGUGCCAUUUAUCUAGAGAAUAAACACAAGCCUGGAAGUAUGUUUUGGUUCUAUUUAUUUAUUUUUUUGGUGGUGGGGAGGGAGGAGAGGUGGCAUUAAGUUCACUUUCAGACAGUGCUUGUUUUGAGAUACCUAGGGGUAUUUCAACACAUAUAAACAUGAACAUUUUCACCGUAUACUCUUCCUAAUGUUAACAUCUGCAUCCUCUAGAUCAGCACUGUCUGAUGGAACUUUCUGUGAUUAUAGAAAUGUUUUGUGUUUUGUGCUGUCCAAUAUUUUUUCUAUCAAGGGAAAAUUAUAACAUGUGCUAGACACAAUUCGCAAAGUUUACCCAAUACAUUACUAGUAGGACUAAAAAUAUAAUCCAUUUUUCCUAAUUCCUAGUCCUAUCACUUAAUGGUUAAAUUUCAUUUCUAAUAUUAUAUAUUAAAUCUCAGUUGUGAAGCAACUUGCUCCAAGGGAUAGAGAAAAGAUUUUAAAUGGUAAACUCCAACUUGGGAACUGAAGUUUUAUUUUUAGUUAUUAGUGUGUCUUGGUGAAGAAGCAUAAACAAACAUCUAAAGAAAAUACAAAAUAUAUUCAUGGUGUUAAUAACUUUUUCCUAUUAUAGCUUGUAGUAGGCAGAAUACUGGCUCCUCAGAUGUCUACAUCGUCAUUGCCAGAACAUGUGAAUAUGUUACCUUACAUGGCAAAGGGACUUUGCAGAUGUAAUUAAGAAUCUUAGAUGGGGAAAUUACACUGAAUUAUCUGGAGGGGCCCAAUGUAAUCACAGGGUCCUUAUAAGUAAACGUGAGCAGGAAGAAAGUCAGAGUCGAGUAACAUGAUGUGAGAAAGUCCCUGCCAUUGCUCUCUGAAGGUGGAAGGGGCCACAAGCCAAGAAAUGCACCCUCAAGGAGCUAGAAAAGACAAGAACGUGGUUUGUCUCCUAGAGCCUCCACAAAGGACCACAGUUUUGCUGACUACUUGAUUUUAGCCCAGUGAGAACCACUUUCGACUUCUGAUACUCAGAAUUUCUGGAACCCAGAUGAAGUCAUCAAUUAAAAAAAAAACACUCUAAUUAAAAAACCUCAUUAAUUCAAAAUACAGGAGAGAGAAGAAUAUAACUCAAUCAGUACUUAAUUCUCAUUUAAUUCUUAGUAAGUACUCAGCAACAGGCUACUGAAGGUGACAGCAGCUCCUAUGAAUAAAUGGAAAGACUAAAUAAUGGAACUUUUAAUAUCAAUAGCAUAUAUAUUAAAUAAACCAAGACAUAAAAAUGAUUAUCAAGAAAUAAAACAAACUCAGUUAAUGACAGUUAUAUUUUGCAAUAACCUAUCAUAUACUAUGAACUCAAAAAUAUCCUAACUUCUUUUACACAAGAAACAGGUAUUCCAUGUUCGAGUCACCAUAAAUUUUAAACGUUUUAUCAUAAAAGUAGUUUCUAAUGGAAUUUGUUUUGGGGAAAUAAAAAAAAAAAAAGGGCCCUAAACAUGUGGCAAAAGAGCUCUCAAAUCAGACUAAGUAAAGCACAAAAGCAAAAAAUUAGAAUUAUGCAAACUUCCUUGUUUUGUCUGGAGAAAAUAUGGUCCAAGAUACAGCUUAGACUCUGAAUGGACAAACAUGGGUUCAAAUUCUAGCCCUUCACCUAUUAGAUGUAAGAUUUCCAACAAAUUAUUUAACCUCUCUGACACUCAGUUUUUCACUGUAGAAUGCAGGUGACAACAGCUAACCACAGACGGCAGCCAUGAGUACCAAAGUGAGGUCAUAUACAGUAAGUGCUAGCAUACGUAGUGGAGUCAGCAUUCUUGUCCGCUUUUCUCCCUUCCCCACCCCACCUUCCUUUUACAUAUUUUAACAAGAAAUGGACGUUAGGAAAAUGUUAAAGAGAACAAAGGCAAAAAUAAGAAAAAUACGGCAAACAAACCACAUACAUUUC
RNAcentral lists this long non-coding RNA (5610 nucleotides) under Homo sapiens (human). RNAcentral describes it as "HSALNT0184528". Lineage: Eukaryota; Metazoa; Chordata; Mammalia; Primates; Hominidae. The record is from RNAcentral.